AAUCAAGAAAUGAAUCUUCAUAUAUGGUUUCGACCCAUACUUAGGUAUUUACUUACCCUUGACU
Molecule: transfer RNA, 64 nt
Filed under: Tremoctopus violaceus
Lineage: Eukaryota; Metazoa; Mollusca; Cephalopoda; Octopoda; Tremoctopodidae
Description: tRNA-Arg
Source: RNAcentral